Molecule: ribosomal RNA, 275 nt
Filed under: uncultured bacterium
Lineage: Bacteria
Description: partial 16S ribosomal RNA
Rfam family: Bacterial small subunit ribosomal RNA
Source: RNAcentral
AGACGGGGGGCGCAAGCGUUGUUCGGAAUUACUGGGCGUAAAGGGCGGGCAGGCGGUCUGCUCAGUCUUCUGUGAAAAUCCGGGGCUCAACCCCGCGAAAUGCAGAAGAUAAUGGCAGACUGGAGACCGGUAGAGGCUAGCGGAAUUCCUGGUGUAGCGGUGGAAUGCGUAGAUAUCAGGAAGAACACCUGUGGCGAAGGCGGCUAGCUGGGCCGGAUCUGACGCUGAUCCGCGAAAGCGUGGGGAGCAAACAGGAUUAGAUACCCCAGUAGUCC